GUCCCAGUGGUGUGGUUGUAGCACGCGCCUCCGCUAUGGGCGAAACGUGGGUUCGACUCCUGCCUGGUGCU
Molecule: non-coding RNA, 71 nt
Organism: Parelaphostrongylus tenuis
Lineage: Eukaryota; Metazoa; Nematoda; Chromadorea; Rhabditida; Metastrongylidae
Source: the annotation of a GenBank genome assembly